RNAcentral lists this ribosomal RNA (457 nucleotides) under uncultured bacterium. RNAcentral describes it as "bacterial SSU rRNA". It matches the Rfam family "Bacterial small subunit ribosomal RNA", at positions 29 to 506 of the family's 1533-position model. The record is from RNAcentral.
AUGAACGUUGGCGGUGUGCCUAAUACAUGCAAGUCGAACGAAGAUGAUAGCAAUAUUGUCUUAGUGGCGAACGGGUGAGUAACGCGUUGGUGACCUGCCCCGAAGUGUGGAAUAACAAUUCGAAAGAAUUGCUAAUACCGCAUGUGAUCUUGGAGAUUAGAACCUCUUUGAUUAAAGGAUUUAUUCGCUUCGUGAGGGGCCUGCGUCCCAUCAGCUAGUUGGUAGGGUAAUGGCCUACCAAGGCUUUGACGGGUAGGGGACCUGAGAGGGUGGCCCCCCACAAUGGAACUGAAACACGGUCCAUACACCUACGGGUGGCAGCAGUAGGGAAUAUUAGUAAUGGGCGAAAGCCUGAACUAGCAACACCGCGUGUGCGAUGAAGGCCUUCGGGUUGUAAAGCACUUUUUUUGGGGACGAUGAUGACGGUACCCAAGGAAUAAGCCACGGCUAACUCUGU